GCCGGAGUGGCGGAAUGGUAGACGCGUCGGAUUCAAAAUCCGAUGUUCGGAAGAAUGUGUGGGUUCGAGUCCCACCUCCGGUA
This 83-nucleotide transfer RNA is filed under the name Bradymonas sediminis. It matches the Rfam family "tRNA". From Rfam's summary of the family: Transfer RNA (tRNA) molecules are approximately 80 nucleotides in length. The record is from Rfam by way of RNAcentral. Lineage: Bacteria; Deltaproteobacteria; Bradymonadales; Bradymonadaceae.